Molecule: ribosomal RNA, 368 nt
Filed under: uncultured bacterium
Lineage: Bacteria
Description: bacterial SSU rRNA
Rfam family: Bacterial small subunit ribosomal RNA
Source: RNAcentral
CAGUAGGGAGGAAGGUAGUGUAGUUAACACCUGCAUUAUUUGACGUUACCUACAGAAGAAGCACCGGCUAACUCCGUGCCAGCAGCCGCGGUAAUACGGAGGGUGCGAGCGUUAAUCGGAAUUACUGGGCGUAAAGCGCAUGCAGGCGGCCUGUUAAGUCAGAUGUGAAAGACCCGGGGCGUUAACCUCGGAAUUGCAUUUGAAACUGGCAGGCUAGAGUCUUGUAGAGGGGGGUAGGAAGUUUCAGGUGUAGCGGUGAAAUGCGUAGAGAUCUGAAGGAAUACCAGUGGCGAAGGCGGCCCCCUGGACAAAGACUGACGCUCAGAUGCGAAAGCGUGGGGAGCAAACAGGAUUAGAUACCCUGGUAG